Molecule: ribosomal RNA, 513 nt
Filed under: uncultured Solirubrobacterales bacterium
Lineage: Bacteria; Bacillati; Actinomycetota; Thermoleophilia; Solirubrobacterales
Description: bacterial SSU rRNA
Rfam family: Bacterial small subunit ribosomal RNA
Source: RNAcentral
AGAGUUUGAUCCUGGCUCAGGACGAACGCUGGCGGCGUGCUUAACACAUGCAAGUGGAGCGACGAACCGGGGCUUGCCCCGGGGCAGAGCCGCGAACGGGUGAGUAACACGUGGGUAACCACCCCGAUGACUGGGACAACCCGAGGAAACUCGGGCUAAUACCAGAUGUGCUCCUUGACCACCAGGUCACUGAGUAAAGAUAGCUUCGGCCUUCGCAUCGGGACGGGCCCGCGGCCCAUUAGCUUGUUGGUGGGGUAACGGCCUACCAAGGCGACGAUGGGGUAGCUGGUCUGAGAGGACGAUCAGCCACACUGGGACUGAGACACGGCCCAGACUCCUACGGGAGGCAGCAGUGGGGAAUCUUGCACAAUGCGCGAAAGCGUGAUGCAGCAACGCCGCGUGAGGGAAGACGGCCUUCGGGUUGUAAACCUCUUUCAGUUGGGACGAAGCUUCGUUCGUUAAUAGCGGACUGGAGUGACGGUACCUUCACAAGAAGCCCCGGCUAACUACGUG